UGUGAGGGAAUCCACUGAAGUUGUGCU
This 27-nucleotide non-coding RNA is filed under the name Homo sapiens (human). Lineage: Eukaryota; Metazoa; Chordata; Mammalia; Primates; Hominidae. The record is from RNAcentral.